ACUUUUGCACUGAAUUUUGGUGGAAAUACGUAUUACAAACGUAUGACCUUAAAAUGGGAAUGCCGUUAAAAUCGGCAACUGUACCCGCAACUGUAAGUCACUCAUUUAUUUGAGCUUGUACAAUCUUAAAACCACUGUAGCAAUAUGGGAAGGUAUGUACAUUAAAGACAAGUCAGGAGACCUGCCAAGUUCUUAAUCAUCUU
RNAcentral lists this non-coding RNA (203 nucleotides) under Croceibacter atlanticus HTCC2559. Lineage: Bacteria; Pseudomonadati; Bacteroidota; Flavobacteriia; Flavobacteriales; Flavobacteriaceae. RNAcentral also lists the same sequence under 1 other name. The record is from RNAcentral.